RNAcentral lists this ribosomal RNA (468 nucleotides) under uncultured bacterium. RNAcentral's name for it is "partial 16S ribosomal RNA". It matches the Rfam family "Bacterial small subunit ribosomal RNA", at positions 28 to 507 of the family's 1533-position model. The record is from RNAcentral.
GACGAACGCUGGCGGCGUGCUUAACACAUGCAAGUCGAACGGAAAGGCCCUGCUUCUGUGGGGUGCUCGAGUGGCGAACGGGUGAGUAACACGUGAGUAACCUGCCCUUGACUUUGGGAUAACUUCAGGAAACUGGGGCUAAUACCGGAUAGGAGCUCCUGCUGCAUGGUGGGGGUUGGAAAGUUUCGGCGGUUGGGGAUGGACUCGCGGCUUAUCACCUUGUUGGUGGGGUAGUGGCUUACCAAGGCUUUGGCGGGUAGCCGGCCUGAGAGGGUGACCGGCCACAUUGGGACUGAGAUACGGCCCAGACUCCUACGGGAGGCAGCAGUGGGGAAUAUUGCACAAUGGGCGGAAGCCUGAUGCAGCAACGCCGCGUGCGGGAUGACGGCCUUCGGGUUGUAAACCGCUUUCGCCUGUGACGAAGCGUGAGUGACGGUAAUGGGUAAAGAAGCACCGGCUAACUACGUG